GAUGAAGAACGUAGCGAAAUGCGAUAAGUAAUGUGAAUUGCAGAAUUCAGUGAAUCAUCGAAUCUUUGAACGCACCUUGCGCCCUUUGGCCAUUCCGAAGGGCAUGCCUGUUUGAGUAUCAUGAACACCUCAACUCUUUAUGGUUUUCCAUGAUGAGCUUGGACUUUGGGGGUUUUGCUGGCCUAUGGUCGGCUCCUCUAAAAUAAAUCAGCUUACCAGUGUUUGGUGGGUAUCAUGGGUGUGAUAACUAUCUACGCUUGUGGUUUUCCCACCAGGUAACCUUCGACAGCGGAGGUUCACUGGAGCUCAUAGAUGUCUCUCCUCAGCGAGGACAGCCCUUUGAAUGUUUGAUCUCAAAUCAGGUAGGACUACCCGCUGAACUUAAGCAUAUCAAUAAGCGAGGA
This 404-nucleotide unclassified non-coding RNA is filed under the name soil metagenome. RNAcentral's name for it is "partial contains 5.8S ribosomal RNA, internal transcribed spacer 2, and large subunit ribosomal RNA". The stretch from base 1 to 121 matches the Rfam family "5.8S ribosomal RNA", at positions 35 to 154 of the family's 154-position model. The record is from RNAcentral.